RNAcentral lists this ribosomal RNA (253 nucleotides) under uncultured bacterium. RNAcentral describes it as "partial 16S ribosomal RNA". It matches the Rfam family "Bacterial small subunit ribosomal RNA", at positions 524 to 776 of the family's 1533-position model. The record is from RNAcentral.
UACGUAGGGGGCAAGCGUUGUCCGGAUUUACUGGGCGUAAAGAGCGUGUAGGCGGCCACGCAGGUCCGUUGUGAAAACUGGAGGCUCAACCUCCAGACGUCGACGGAAACCGUAUGGCUAGAGUCCGGAAGAGGAGAGUGGAAUUCCUGGUGCAGCGGUGAAAUGCGCAGAUAUCAGGAAGAACACCAAUGGCGAAGGCAGCUCUCUGGGAUGGUACUGACGCUGAGACGCGAAAGCGUGGGGAGCGAACAGG